UUACGGCAAUACUACGUUGAAACACCAGUUCACGUACGAACACAGAAGUUAAGCAACAUCGAGCCUGAUCAGUACUUAGAUGUAUCCCCACUUGAGAAUAUCAGGUGCUGCAAGC
This is a non-coding RNA of Acanthosepion pharaonis, 115 nucleotides long. The record is from the annotation of a GenBank genome assembly. NCBI's taxonomy places the organism in Eukaryota, Metazoa, Mollusca, Cephalopoda, Sepiida, Sepiidae.